Long non-coding RNA from Odontomachus brunneus, 1066 nucleotides. RefSeq lists it as uncharacterized. The transcript has 3 exons. The record is from RefSeq and is a predicted model, not a curated record. Lineage: Eukaryota; Metazoa; Arthropoda; Insecta; Hymenoptera; Formicidae.
GCAGGCAAACGCGACGGCGAAGGACGACGAGAACAAGGAGGACGCAGAUGUUCCAGCGUGUUACCGUACUCGAGGCGGAAGUCGUGCGACCGGAUACCGAUAGUGAGCCUUCUGGCUCGUAAAAAGUGCACAUUCGGCCGAUAAAGGCAAAUCACGCUGCAGAAAAGUGUCAUCGUUCUCAAGAAGCUACAAGUCGAAAAGGAAGGAAAAAUUGUCGCACCCCGGCAAUUUUCCCCGCCGUUUCCGAGUCAUCUCAGAAUGGCGCGUCCACGUGAAAUGCGACGAGGAGUGUCGCUGCGGUACGGUGAGAGAUAUCGUAAAAGCAUGCCGCUCGUACAAAUUGGAACGGCCGUAAAAUCGAUUUACAAGCAUAAGAUUAACGGCGCGAGUCCUCGUGGGACGAUACACAUCACGUAACGUAAUCGUAAACAGAAAUAUCUCCUAAAGAAACUCUCAAUUUUCUUUUUUUAUUUGUUUCCUCCGAACGGAGUACAAAUUCCAGCUCUCUUAGAAAUCACGACGCGCUGUCAAGACCGUUUCCUCGCGCGAGACGGGGGUUGACAUCCGUUAGAGAAGAUACGGGGAUCUCGUCUCGGCGUGGUAUGUCGAGAUACCGCGCGGCCGAUUUGAUUUUUAUCGAGCGACAAGAGAGAAUUUAAACGUCAGACGUCGCGACGGCAGGGACGCCGCAUGGAGAAGCAGACGGAUCGCGCCAGAUUCGUAGAAGAAAACGCCACGGCCGACAUUCAUACGAGCUCUCGCUCUGCGAGUCACCGUUGCUUGUUUAACGUAAGGACACGUGGAAUUCUUCGUUUAAACGUAUCCUGCCCGUGUAUUCGGCAGUUCGUCAAUUGGUGAAAGUUUGUCACUCAUUGCGUUCUCUUCAUCUCAUUUCGGGCCUCAUUACUUAAAUUCCAAGGCCUUUAUUCUGAACUGUCUCACUGAGAGAAAUGGCUUGGUGAAUGACACUAUACUCGUCUUAUGAAAGUAAUAUGGUGAAUACAUAUGCGAUAUCUGGUUCACAUAUCCAAUAUUCUGAUUACGAUGCCUCGACGCAUCUGUCAAU